This 11208-nucleotide long non-coding RNA is filed under the name Pelobates cultripes (western spadefoot toad). The record is from RNAcentral. Lineage: Eukaryota; Metazoa; Chordata; Amphibia; Anura; Pelobatidae.
GACUUAGAGAGGCUAUUUAGCCAGCAGCAACUAACUGUUUGCCAGGUGCACUCAGAAUUUGUUGCAAGUGUGUUCUCACCUGCCCUCCAACACACUUUGCCAUUUAAGGUAAGCCUUUUUUGCUUUUAUCUUAAGUGAUUCUAGCCUGAAUUAUGGAGUUUUGAUUUUGUUCAGCUUUUCUUUCUCUUUUUUUUUUUUCCCUUCCGUAUGUCUUAUCUUGAGACUGCAGAGAGAGCUUCAGAGUGAGGGAAAUGUUCUGCGAAAUCCAAACAUUUUAAGCUGUGCUGCAUGUUCCCAACCCAUGCCAGAUGGAUAUAAGUAGACAUGUGCAAUUCGUUUCGAAUGUGAAUUCGGACGAAUUUUGGGCAAUUCGGACAUUCGGGUACUUCCGAGUGUCCGAAUAGAUGACUUGCCGAAUGGUUGAUGUCCCGAAAUUCAGAAAUUACUGAAUUGUCGAAGUGCCGAAGCACAGUAUUCCUUAAGAACUAAUAUACUUACCUAGUGAAAGAAUGAGAAUGUUACACUGUAUACAAAUUUAAAUAAAAAGUAUACAAACAUAGCCAGGAUUCAGCUGUAAGCAUUUGCAACACUUACAACAAUAAAGUAACACACAUUCAUAUAAAAUGUAAGUUACUUAGCCAGUCAAUGUAAUGACAGGAAUGAAUAAGUAGAUAAAUCCCUAAUUCCCAUGGUAUUAGGGAGCUAUCUGCUGAAAGACCUAAAUUGGUUUACUUAGUAUUAGUAAAUUAUGCCCCUACUCGCUAUACCGCGAGUAGGGGCAUGUCUAUUAAACAGUGAGCAGCCUAUGGCGGGUGGGGGCCCUACAGUAAAAUAAGGGGGGGGACCCUAAAUUUUAGGGGGGGACCCUAAAUACUUAACUGCUCACUGUUUAAUAGUCAUUUUUACUUAGUAUUAGUAAAUUUGGCUGAAAGACCAAUUUAGGUCUUUCAGCCUUUUGGUAGAUAGCGCACUAAUACCAUGGGAAUUAGGGAGUAACCUACUAAGCGGCUGCAAAAGAAGUCCCGAAAUUCCAAACUGUCGAAGUUGCCGAAGUUCUGAAGUGUUGAAAUGCCAAAUUGCAAAAUUUUGGAAUGCCGAACCGAACUGAAAAUUUUCCCCAUGCACAUGCCUAAAUAUAAGUGCAAAAUUUGUUCCAAUUGUACUAGGCUUCUGAGGAAGCAAAGAAAACUGAAAUGUCUACAUUCCUAAAUUGGUUCCAGCAAAUUCUGCAACAAACAUUUGUUGAAAUGCAGACUGCAGCCGUUCAGUCUGCUCAGGCCUCUGCUUCCCAGGAUUCUACAGUAUUAAAUCCGUCUAGGCCUAAAAAGGCCUAGAUCCUGGGAAUUGUCUGACGUAAGCUCUGCUUCUUCUAUGUCAGAAUCAAGAAAUGAGGAUUCUAGUGAUUGCUCUGAGGAAGAAUUUUCUUUUCCAGAGGAAUCUAUUGGUGAAAGUACAGUGCCUGAUGGGUUAUAAGGAACACUUCAGGAGCAAAGGAAAUAAAUCCAAAGCUUUUCCGUUUCAUCCACAAUUAAAGGAUUUGAUUCUAAGGGAAUGGAAAUUCCCAGGAAGAAAGCCUUUUAUUUCUAAACAUUUUAAAGCUAUUUGCCAUCAAUAAGGAUCCUGAGUGCCUCCUGGAUCCUUUACCUUCAGUAGACGUCCCUAUAGCUCAGCUGGGAAAGAAAACCAAGUUACCUAUAGUGGAUUCAAGUGGCUUAAAAGACGCCAUGGAGAAACGUAUUGAUUCUUCCUUAAAGGACCACUCUAGGCACCCAGACCACUUCAGCUUAAUGAAGUGGUCUGGGUGCCAGGUCCAGCUAGGGUUAACCCAUUUUUUUAUAAACAUAGCAGUUUCAGAGAAACUGCUAUGUUUAUAAAUGGGUUAAGCCUUCCUCCAAAGCCCCUAGCGGCUGUCUCAUUGACAGCCGCUAGAGGCGCUUGCGUGUUUCUCACUGUGAAAAUCACAGUGAGAGCACGCAAGCGUCCAUUGGAAAGCAUUGUAAAUGUGACCGGCUGAAUGCGCGCGCAGCUCUUGCCGCGCGUGCGCAUUCAGCCUAAUGGGCGGAGAGGAGGAGGAUCGGAGGAGGAGAGCUCCCCUCCCAGCGCUGGAAAAAGGUAAGUUUUUACCCCUUUCCAGAGCCGGGCGUGAGAGGGUCCCUGAGGGUGGGGGCACCCUCAGGGCACUAUAGUGCCAGAAAAACGAGUGUUUUCCUGGCACUAUAGUGAUCCUUUAAAGAAACUGUUUUUUUUUCCUCCGCAUCUCAAUCCAAAGCACGGAUUGCAGGUACCUCAGUGGCAAAGGCACAGAAACAUUGGCUGGAAGAAUUAGAAAAGACUUCUGCGGGUGAAUCCAAAGAAGAUCCAGUCAAGUUGUUGCAAAAUAUCAAGAUGGCAUCUAACUUUCUAGUUGAUUCCUCUUCAGAAGGUCUGAAGACAAUGGGUUUAUCCACAGUGGCAAGAAGAGCAAUUUGGCUAAGAAACUGGCCGGCUGACUCAGCAUCCAAAAAUUAUUUGUGACCUUCCAUUUGAACCAGGCAGACUUUUUGGUUCUAAACUGGAUGAUAUUUUGAAACAAAUGAAGGCUGGUAAAAAGGCUUUACCUGAAGAUAACAGGAAGCAUAAUUGGAAUAAAAGAUAUAUUUUAUUUUUUUUAUUUUUUUUAAAGUCCAAUCUGCUUACAGGGGAUCCUUUCAGAAGAACACUUACAGAGGUCAACAAAGGAAGGUGUUUGAUUACAGGAUAAAAGAGAAGUUCUCUGAUAAAAGGUAUACAAAUUUAUGACGCCAUUCCUAUUGGAGAAAGACUCACUCAUUUCCUGGAUUCCUGGCAGAAAACUACCUCUGAUCACUGGGUUCUUUCAGUAAUAAGGAAGGGUUACUAUCUGGAUUUAGCAGAGAUCCCAAAAAGAAAAUUCUUAUGCUCUACAGUCCACUCGCGGGUGAAAGAAAAAGUGCUAAUGGGAGAAGUGUCAAAACUUCUUCAAAAGAAUGUCAUAGAAAGUGUGCAUCCAAAAGACAGAUUUCUGGGCACUUAUUUAAGACUCUUUUUGGUUCCAAAGCCAGACGGUUCUUUCAGACCCAUUCUAGAUCUCAAGACCGUCAACAAAUUUAUUCUAAAAAAUAAGUUUCAUAUGGAAACAAAGUCUGCAACUCGUAUGAUUUCAACGAGAAAACUGUCUGAUUUCUCUGGAUCUAAAAGACGCCGAUCUACACGUUCCCAUCGCAGACCCCAGGAAAAGAUUCCUAAGGUUCGCUAUCAACUUCCAGAGUCGGACUCUUCAUUACAAGUUCAGAGCUCUUCCCUUUGGUUUGUCUUCAGCCCCAAGAGUGUUCACAAAGAUUCUGGUAGUAACUUCAGCAGAUUUAAGGGGAAAAGGCAUCAAUGUCAUCCCUUAUUUAGACGACUGGCUUUUGAUUGCAGACUCCAAAGAAAAACUUUAUCUAGACCUCAAUACGGCUUUAGACACUUUAAACAAAUCAUGGUUGGUUGAUAACUUUCGUAAAGUAGGAAUUGGUCCCAGUUCAAAGAAUUCAGUUCCUGGGUCUAAUUAUAGACACACUCGUUAUGAAAAUAUUCCUUCCAGAAGAAAAAAGAACAAAGAUUGUUCUGGCUAUUCAGAAACUCAGAGAAAGAAGUUGGUGCUCCAUCAGAGAUGCAAUGAGUUUGCUGGGUCUUUUCACAGCCUCCAUCCCAGAAGUCAAUUGUGCAAAGGCCAGAAUGAGACCCCUUCAAAGAAACAUUUUAAGCUGCUGGAACAGGCAAACUUACAGCUUGGACAUGCCUUUUGAAACUCAACAGUCAGGCGCUGAAGAGUUUUCUCUGGUGGACCUCGUCUCGUUUCCUGUAAACAGGCCUCUCGUUCCAAAUGAAGUCAGUCAAAGUUUUAACAGAUGUCUCAGGUCGCGUCUGGGGUGCUCAUUUAGGAGAAAAGAAGAAACCAGGAGUUUGGCAAGUAAAAGAUUUAAGAAGUUAAUCGAACUACAAAGAACUGAAGACUGUCUGGCUGGCUCUCAUUGCUUUUCGGAAUCAGAUCCAGAAUCAACAUGUCCAGAUCAGGUCAGACAAUUCUACAACAGUAGCUUAUAUAAACAAACAAGGAGGAACAAGAUCAAAGAGUUUGGAAGAUAUGUGUUCCAGAAUCAUGCUGUGGUCAGAGUUCCACCUUCUGUCAAUUUCAGCGGUUCACUUAAAAGGAGAAUUCAAUGUACUGGCAGGCGCUCUAAGUCGUCAACAUUUAAAGCAAGCAGAUUGGUCCCUUUCUUCCCAGAUCUUCAGUCAAAUCACAAAGAAAUUCGGUUAUCCAGAAAUAGACCUUAUGGCUUCAAGAUCAAACAAGAAAACAAGAAGAUUUGUUUUAAAUGUUUUAUUUUGUGUUGCAAGUACAAGCAUGUAGUUGGUCUUGUUUCAUGGAAAGCAUAUGAUUGCCCGCGCAGAGGCGUUUCAGAUAAAACAUGCAGUUACAUUAGGUUCAAGGGCUUUUAACAGUUAUGUGCUUAAUGGACCACUCUAGGCACCCAGACCACUUCAGCUUAAUGAAGUGGUCUGGGUGCCAGGUCCAGCUAGGGUUAACCCAUUCUGUGAAACUGCUAUGUUUAUGAAUGGGUUAAGCCUUCCCCCUAAUCCUCUAGUGGCUGUCUCAUUGACAGCCACUAGAGGCGCUUGCGUGCUUCUCACUGUGAUUUUCACAGUGAGAGAACGCAAGCGUCCAUAGGAAAGCAUUAUGAAUGCUUUCCUAUGUGACCGGCUGAAUGCGCGCGCAGCUCUUGCCGCGCGUGCGCAUUCAGCCGACGGGGAGGAGAGAAGGAGGAUCGGAGGAGGAGAGCUCUCCGUCCAGCGCUAGAAAAAGGUGAGUUUUAACCCCUUUCCUCUCCCCAGAGAGGGGGAGUGUUUUCUUGGCACUAUAGUGGUCCUUUAAUAAAUCAAGUUGACUUCGUUCAUGCUGUGACUUUGGGCUAGAUUUCAGUAUACUUGUUGUUUGUCAUCCAGCGAUGUAGUGCUAGAUAUAAGCAGGUAAGCGGAGUUGCUUCCGGAGAGACAUAGCGUUGCCGACGCUGAGUCACAAAGUCAGUCUUUGAGUGUAGUUUCUCGUUUCGUUUGGGAGUAUUGGUAGGUACUCGUGUUGUGUUGCCUGUGCCUAGCCUCUUUGUGUAGGUGUGGGGCAUAGACUGUGCGCUCAGGUGAUGGUUUUAUCCAUUGUUUUAAGUUGCCCGGGUGGUCGUUAUUGUGCCCGAAACCUGUUGUGGCUGUAUGUUAUUCUCUGCGUAGGUGGCCUAGAGAGGCAGCUGUUGUCUAACCUGUCACUGGUGGCUGCGUGAUCGGUGCAUGUGUGUGACAUUGCUCCUUGUGGGGCGUGUCUCCCUCAUUCCUGCCCUCCGGUGCUUGGUAGCGCCAGCGGUUGCGCUGGGGCGUGUGGGGGUAGGCAUCUCGGGUGGACUGGUCGCAGUAUGUCAUGUUGCCCCCUUCUCCGAGGCAGUGUGUGGUCAUGAGGUCAUGUCACCGUGUGGCGGUGGAGCGUGGGUCUAGGUCUCGUGUUGGGCAGGUCUGUGUGGGUCCGCAUUCCACGUUGGGGGCUGUUGCCUUACGGGGCCUGGUCCUUAGUGUGGUUCAUGUUGCCUCCAGUCAGUGAUUGGGUUGUGUGAGGUUGGCGCACACUGGGGGGGAGGAAAAAGGGGGGGAGGGGGAGGGACGGAAAGGGGGGGGAAAGGAGGUGGGGAAAGGGGGAUGUGGGUGAGGGCAACCCGUCUAGGGGCCACCCCAGGUGCAGGCGCCCGGUUGUCUUGUAGUUGCGUGUCCUUGGUUUAGGGUGGGUUCAGGCAUUGUAAGAACUCAUCUGUAGCGAUGUCUCGUAUCCAGUGGAACCAUGAGCUUUUCUUUUGCCGCUGCCGUGGUGGCUUUCAGGUCCUCGAAUUUUCUUGUGUCCUCCUUCUCCUUAACCCACGUGGUUGUUUCCAGAAUAUGGGGAUAGUCGGGAAAACAAGAAGAUUUGGAUCUCUAAACCUGGCAGACAGACCAGAGGUCAUAGACUCCCUGGAAGUUCGAUCUGGUUUACGUGUUUCCUCCUAUUUCUCUUAUUCCCAGAAUUCUUCAGAAGAUCAGGAUAGAAAGGGUGAGAAUAAUCAUAAUUCUCCCUUGGUGGCCGAGAAGAAGUUGGUUCUCAGUUCUCCUAAAUAUUCCCGGAUCAACCUUUUGGAAACCUUCCCCUGUCAGCAGACAUAAUGGAACACUCCAUGGUACCUUUUCUGAUUCUGAAAUUCAAAUUGACGGCAUGGUGUCUGAAUACCAGAUAGAAAGGGUUUGUCUCUUGAUGUUAAGAUUUUGAUGGCUGCUAAAAAGGAUUCUACCUCCAAGAUUUAUUCCAGAAUAUGGAAGAAGUUUUGUUCUUGGUGUGUCAGGAUCAAGGAAAAUCCAGUCUCCGCUUCCAUUCCAAACAUCCUUAGUUUCCUUCAGAUGGGCUUUGUGAAAGGUUUAAAACCAGCCACACUCAAAGUCCAACUUUCAGCUAUCAGCUUCUUUUCAUUCAGAUGCUUGGCUUCAAAUAUCCUAAUCUCCAGAUAUUUUAAGGCGCUGUUUCGUUUGGUUCCUACCAUCAGGGAAACUUGUUCUCCAUGGGAUCUUAAUUUGGUUUUAUCAGCUCUCUGCAAACCUCAGUUUGAACCUCUAGAAAAGUCUUCUCUGAAGGUUUUAUCAUUCAGUUUGUUUUUGGUGGCCAUUACCUUGACUUAAAGAUUGGGAGAACUUCAAGCUCUUAAUGUGACUUUUCCUUUUUUAGUCUUCCAUCAAGACAAAGUAGUGUUAAAGCUGGAUCCUUCUUUUAUCCCCAAGGUAUAUUCUUCCUCUACCAUCAAUCAAGAAUUGAUUUUACCUACUUUUUGCCAACAGCCUUCUAAUGCGUUAGAAGUUAAAUUCCACUGUCUGGACGUUAAGAGACCUCUGCUUCAGUACCUGGAAAGUACAAAUGCCUUUAGGAAAUCUAACAGACUUUUUUUAGUCUUGUUUCAUGGCCCUAGGAAAGGUUUGAUGGCUUCAAAAGGAUGUCUGGCCAGAUGGUUAAAGGAAUGCAUUCGUCUGGCUUAUUCCUCAUCCAACAUUGCGAUGCCUUUCUCCAUUAAAGCUCAUUCAACCAGAGCUAUAUCCACAUCGUGGGCCCUUCGGGCUUCAGCUACGCAUUCUCAAAUUUGUUCUGCAGCCACGUCGUCAUCUCUUCAUACGUUUGCUAAACAUGACAAAUUUGACAUACUGGCCUCGGAGAACGCAUCUUUUGGGCGCAAGGUGUUACAAGCUGUUGUGAAAUGAGUCCCGCCCUUAGGGUAUUGCUUUGAUUAUCCCUGUUUAGCACUGCCUCUAAUCUGAAGGGAAAAGCAUACAUUUUUUACUUACUAUAAAUUUAUUUUUCCUGAAGAUUAGAGGCAGUGCUCACUCCACACCCCUCCUCCCCCUCUAUGUUCUAAUAAAGUAAUUUUGCAGUUAACCGACUUUUGUAUUUUCUGGGGAUGUUUGGGGUAAGUGUCAAUUUAUAGGACAAGAUGGAAUUAGGGGAGGUAUUUUAAAAAGUUUUGGGGAUUGUCGGCCUGUUUUUUCCCUCCUGAUUAGAAAUCCCUGUUAAGCACUGCCUCUAAACUUCAGGAAAAAUAAAUUUACGGUCAGUAAAAAUUUUUGUGUAUGUGUGUAUAUAUAUAUAUAUAUAUGUAUAUAUAUAUAUAUAUAUAUAUAUAUAUAUAUAUAUAUCAUGAAAAAAAUUAAAUAUAAAGAUAUGUGUAUUUCAUUAACUAAUGGCCCCAAGGGGUUUGUGUACUCGCUAUAAAGCGAGGUGUUUUGAAUUGACUUCGCAAUUGCAAAAUGUUGGCUUAAACAAAGCUUGGGAAACACAAUUCCCUUUGACUUUUUUGACUUACAUUUGUAGCUAUUCUGGUGACUAAAUUAAAUUUAUGCUAUUUUACCACUUUCUUGCUUUUCCUUAUUUUUCAGCUUCCAUACCUGUUGGAUGGCGAUGUCAAGCUAACUCAGAGCAAUACCAUCCUGCGCUAUAUCGCAAGCAAGCAUGGAUUGUGUAAGAGUUUUUUUUUUUUUUUUUUUGUAGACCACUACACUUUAAAAACACACACAGACACGUCUUCAUUUUAACUCAUGGACAUGUGUUGCUCAUGACUCUCGUGGGGUUUAAAAUCUAAAGGGGUGACUUUGAAUUCAUAAUAGCUAAUUGCAAUCAGUACUGAAAAGAUUGGAAUAAAGAAAAAGAUCAACUAAAAAGUAACAAAUUUGUUUGGCUUAUUAUCAUGUAGCUUAUCAAACAAUGUUGUAGUUUCUAAUGUUAAUAAGUACAAUGCCUUUGAUCCAAAGUGUGUAUUUUAAAAGUGGACCUAACAGUGUCUGUCUGGUUUCCUCAUGUUUUGUAUUAUUGUAAAGUGGUGAUCCACUAAUUUAAAAAGAAAAUAAAGUGCUAUUAUGCAAAUUAGGCUUCUCUCCCUGCUUGUGGAAGUGGUAAGCAACAUGUAUUGGUUUUGUCAUGUAGCAGGUGAGCAGUGGAGGGUAAUACCGUAUUUUCCGGCGUAUAAGACGACUUUUUACCCCUGGAAAAUCUUCUCCAAAGUGGGGGGUCGUCUUAUACGCCGGGUAUAUGGCUGCUGGGGGCGCCCUGCGCCCCCAUCGCCGGCCCUUCUAAUGCUGCAGCCGCCUGAGCGCUCUAUAGAGAGAGCGCUCAGACGGCUGCCGCACUGCCUCUCUUACCUCCCCUUCCCUGUGCAGCGUGGGUGGCUGAGCUCCUCUUCGUCCUGUCAGUCCGGCAGGACGACGCGGUACAGGAGAUUCAGUUACCUGAGUGCUCACUUCCUUUCAGUAGGCCGGGAACAGGUAACUGAAUCUCCUGUACCGCGCGGUACCCGGCCGGACUGACAGAAUGAAGAGGAGCUCGGCCACCCACUCUGCACAUGGAAGGGGAGGUGAGAAGGAGGGAGGGGGGAGUAAAAAAAUUGGGGGGGUGAGUAAAAAAAAAUUGGAGAGGUGGAUUAAAAAGAGAAUGGGGGGGAUUAAAAAAGAAUGGGGGGGAUUAAAAAAGAAUGGGGGGGGGGGAUUAAAAAGAAUAUCGCAAUUGGCCUCCUGUGUGCUAGACCAGCAUGCAUGGAUUAUAUGCCCAAACAGCCUGGCACAUACCUGGGCUUUAACCCCUUAAGGACACAUGACAUGUGUGACAUGUCAUAAUUCCCUUUUAUUCCAGAAGUUUGGUCCUUAAGGGGUUAAAUGCUAUUUCAGAUUAUCAUUAUUUAAAGUACCACUCUAGGUACCCAGACCACUUCAGCUUAAUGAAGUGGUCUGGGUGCCAGGUCCAGCUAGGAUUAACCCAUUUUUUUUAUAAACACAGCAGUUUCAGAGAAACUGCUAUGUUUAUAAAUGGGUUAAUCCAGCCUCUAAAGCCUCUAGUGGCUGUCUCAUUGACAGCCGCUAGAGGCGCUUGCGUGAUUCUCAUUGUGAAAAUCACAGUGAGAGCACGCAAGCGUCCAUAGGAAAGCAUUGUAAAUGCUUUCUUAUGCGACCGGCUGAAUGCGCGCGCAGCUCUUGCUGCGCGUGCGCAUUCAGCCGAAGGGGAGGAACUGGGGAGGAUCGGAGGAGGAGAGCUCCCUGCCCAGCGCUGGAAAAAGGUAAUUUUUUUUUUUUUUUUUUUACCCCUUUCCUCUCCCCAGAGCCGGACGGGAGGGGGACCCUGAGGGUGGGGGCACCCUGAGGGCACUAUAGUGCCAGGAAAACGAGUAUGUUUUCCUGGCACUAUAGUGGUCCUUUAACGUCUUGCUGUGUAGCUCUUUCUGCUCACUGUACAUCAUGGCUAAUUUUUAUUUGGUGUGCAUUGGAAGAGGGGUAGUCUUAUACGGUGAGUAUAUCCCAAACUCUAUAUUUUAACUGGAAAAGUUGGGGGUCGUCUUAUACGCCCAGUCGUCUUAUACGCCGGAAAAUACGGUAAUCUAUUUCUAUUUUAGACUCACGCACUCUGUAAAUGAAACUAAUUAUUACUGGCUUAAACUUGUUCUCAAUACUUUACCACUGUUUCUCCUUUCCAGGUGCUGAAACUGAAAAAGAUAAGAUCAUUGAAUCCCUGCUUGAGAACCAGUUUCUGGAUUUUCGGAUGGGUCUUGUGCAUAUUGCGUACAACCCACAAUUCGUAAGUGAAGAUAAAGAUGAGAAAUGCAGAAAGUGUAUUAUCUUAACAAACUAUACAAUUAUCUUUCUUCCAGGAAACUCUCAAGGGACCAUACCUUGAAAAACUACCUACAGCCUUGGCACGUGUUUCUAAAUUCCUUGGGGACAGACAAUGGUUUGUAGGAGACAAGGUAAUCUACCACUGUUCUAGGUCUGUUUCAUUACUCGUUCAUACCUUUUGCAUGUAUGAUUUCAUUGUAUAGAUACAUGGAAUACCCCAAUUACACGGAAUUGAGUCAGGUGCUGACUAGAUAGGACGUCUAUAUUGAAAUUCUAUUAUUUUCCUAGAUCACUUUCAUUGACUUUAUCGUGUAUGAUGUUUUGGACCAGCAUCAGAUGCUAGAGCCAAUUUGUCUUCAAAACUUCCAGAACUUGCAGGACUUUCUGAACCGGUUUGAGGUAAACCUUGCAUGUUUUUCUCUUCCUUUUCGCAAUGUUAUACAGAGUAUAAUUUUAUUAUUCUUCCAUUUUUCAGGCUCUUCCUACUAUUGCUGCAUAUAUGAAGUCUCCUCGCUUUAUGAAGACCCCCAUACAUAAUCGGAUGGCAUUCUGGGCUAACAAAAAAUAAGUUGCCUCUAAAUCAAAUCCGUGUUCACAUCCCAGUCUAAGUUCUCAGUAAUCCCAUCUUUUAUUCCUACAUCUUAAUUUCAUGUAAACUCCUAACCAUAAAUCCACACUAACUACUGCUACUUCUUCGUAUUACUCAAACUGUCACUUCAAUGGGGAAAUGCCUGUUGGCAAGGAGAAGACGUUUUUGAAUAACUUUGUCUCAAAAAUGUAGAAGAAACAGCUAAAAUGUGUGGUGAAAGACAGCCUUCAUUCUUCUACCUCUCUUGGUUCAAUCAAAGCCUUAAAGCUAUAGAAGUAAAGAGUUCAUUCCAAAUGAUCAUGUGCAAAAUUGUGUUUUUGUGACAAUUGGGAUUCUCCAUCUUUUGGUACAAUAGAAACUGGGUAAGAAGCAAUUAAGAGGAAGGUGAUUUGUGUGGAUGAGUGGUGAAUGAGUAAUGAUUUGGGGAGAAAAUGGGU